This 273-nucleotide ribosomal RNA is filed under the name uncultured bacterium. Its description in RNAcentral is "partial 16S ribosomal RNA". It matches the Rfam family "Bacterial small subunit ribosomal RNA", at positions 524 to 796 of the family's 1533-position model. The record is from RNAcentral.
UACGAAGGGGGCUAGCGUUGUUCGGAUUUACUGGGCGUAAAGCGCACGUAGGCGGACUUUUAAGUCAGGGGUGAAAUCCCGGGGCUCAACCCCGGAACUGCCUUUGAUACUGGAAGUCUUGAGUUCGAGAGAGGUGAGUGGAAUUGCGAGUGUAGAGGUGAAAUUCGUAGAUAUUCGCAGGAACACCAGUGGCGAAGGCGGCUCACUGGCUCGAUACUGACGCUGAGGUGCGAAAGCGUGGGGAGCAAACAGGAUUAGAAACCCCCGUAGUCC